This 440-nucleotide ribosomal RNA is filed under the name uncultured bacterium. RNAcentral describes it as "partial 16S ribosomal RNA". It matches the Rfam family "Bacterial small subunit ribosomal RNA", at positions 338 to 795 of the family's 1533-position model. The record is from RNAcentral.
CCUACGGGAGGCCGCAGUAGGGAAUCUUCCGCAAUGGGCGAAAGCCUGACGGAGCAACGCCGCGUGAGUGAUGAAGUAUCUCGGUUCGUAAAGCUCUAUUAUCAGGGAAGAACAUACCUGUAACUAACUAUGCAGCUCCGGCUAACACCGGACCAGCAACCGCGGUCAUACUAAGGGCGAAAGCGUUAUCCGGAUUUAAUGGGUGAAACGGGAGCGUAGACGGUUUGGCAUGUCUGAAGGGAAGGCCCGGGGCUCAAUCUCGGGACGGCUUUGGAAACUGUCAUGCUGGAGUGCGGGAGAGGAAAGUGGAAUUCCUAGUGUAGCGGUGAAAUGCGUAGAGAUAUGGAGGAACACCAGUGGCGAAGGCGGCUUACUGGUCAGUAACUGACGUUGAGGCGCGAAAGCGUGGGGAGCAAACAGGAUUAGAUACCCGAGUAGUC